UUACCUACGGGGGGCAGCAGUGGGGAAUAUUGCACAAUGGGGGGAACCCUGAUGCAGCAAUGCCGCGUGGGUGAAGAAGCACUCCGGUGCGUAAAGCCCUGUCAGCAGGGAAGAAAAUGACAGUACCUGGACAAGAAGCCCCGGCUAACUACGUGCCAGCAGCCGCGGUAAUACGUAGGGGGCAAGCGUUAUCCGGAUUUACUGGGUGUAAAGGGAGCGUAGACGGCAGGGCAAGUCUGGAGUGAAAGCCCGGGGCCCAACCCCGGGACUGCUUUGGAAACUGCCAUGCUGGAGUGCUGGAGAGG
This 305-nucleotide ribosomal RNA is filed under the name uncultured bacterium. RNAcentral describes it as "bacterial SSU rRNA". It matches the Rfam family "Bacterial small subunit ribosomal RNA", at positions 335 to 657 of the family's 1533-position model. The record is from RNAcentral.